AAUACAUUUCACUUUAUAAUAAAUAGUGAGUAAACAAAAAUAAGUUAUGUUUUAACGUGGAGGUGGUAGCAGCCGCUCUCUCCUCCCACCUGAGGAGCAAAGAGCAUUUGUCCAGCUCAUACUGGGAGACGUUUGGAAUUUCCAGUAAUGCUGCAUCUUCCUACUUCUGCUUCUUUUGUCUUUUCUUUUUUUUUUUUUAGUUUUUAAUUGGGGGAUAAUUGCUUUACAACGUUGCAUCAAUUCCUGCUGUGCACCCACGUGAAUGGGCUGUGCGAGCACAUAUACAGCCGCCCCCCUCCCCCUCCCCGCCCGCUCGGUCAUCUCAGAGCGCCGGGCAGGGCUGCUGCGCGGGAUGGGCAGCAGUGUCCCGCUCGCUAUCUAUGCCACACAUGGCAGUGUGUGUGUGUGUCGAGGCUGCUCUCUCAGUUCCUUUUCCUCUCAAAAACCAUUACAACUGAGUCAGCCUCCUGGCCCUGCUGGCUCCGUUCUGGGGCCAACCGUGGCUCCAAAGAACACGUGGUGGGAGAGCCAAGAAUCACAGGAUUUGAGAGCUGGAAGGGGCCUCCGAAACCAUCUCGUGCAACAGUUAUUUAUCCUGUCGUCGGCUGGACAAGCAAGAAGAGUGCGGCAGAGCACCCCAGCUUGCCAUAACAAGCCACUGGGGAAGCACAGGACAGGGAGGACGUGGUUUCGCAGCAACGCGUGUGAGGACAGGGAAGCCUGGCGUGCUGCAGACCAUGGGGUCACAAAGAGUCGGACAUGACUGAGUGACUGGACAACAAGGGACUCACAGGGAGGUGGUACUCUCUGUGGAAGGCAGUCCAACAUUCAAAAUCAUAGUUGCAAAAGGAGAAUGAAGAAAGUUAAAAGGAACACCCAGCAAGGAGGAGCUAGGGCGUGAGGGGAGAACAGUGAAAGAGAGGCAUUUCAUGAAGCAGUGGGACAAUGAGCGAUGUCGUCUAGUGACCGGGUGCCCUUCCCAGGACGAUCCAGUAUUCUAUCUGUGUCUUGCCUGACAUGUUCCAGCAAAAGUGCAUGGUGCCUGCCCGAGCCCUUCCCUGGGUCCCCGGCUGACAGCACCAUGUUGCUCCUCCCUAGAUGCAUUACCCAGGUUUGCCCCAGUGAAGCUCAUUUGCCACUUUCCUGCCCAGGCGCUAAGCCUUGAAGACCUCCCGUCGUUCAUCUCCAUUGGCCUGACGUACCACCACCCAGGAAGGUCCAAGGCCAAGUGCCGAGUCGCUGACUUCACUGGGCAGUCUUCUUCCAGACUGUUUGCAAAAGCAUCACAAGGGACCGUUUCCAGGGCUCCUCGUCGGGGUCCCGCCAGUUGAACUGCUCCUGCCAGAGUUGCUUCUUCAUUACUGUUCUUUUCUCCCUGUCUCUAAGUCAUUUUCUCAUUCAUUAAAAAGAAAAAAAAAAAAAAAAAAA
This is a long non-coding RNA of Bubalus bubalis (water buffalo), 1428 nucleotides long. RefSeq lists it as uncharacterized. The record is from RefSeq and is a predicted model, not a curated record. The transcript has 2 exons. NCBI's taxonomy places the organism in Eukaryota, Metazoa, Chordata, Mammalia, Artiodactyla, Bovidae.